RNAcentral lists this long non-coding RNA (664 nucleotides) under Nicotiana benthamiana. RNAcentral's name for it is "long non-coding RNA (NBEN_LNC024150)". Lineage: Eukaryota; Viridiplantae; Streptophyta; Magnoliopsida; Solanales; Solanaceae. The record is from RNAcentral.
UUUCUAUCUCUUUCUCUGCAAUGUUGCUAUUGUUAUUUUUUUUUCUCCCCCUAAAUUCUAUACCGUCACUCGCAUAAUAAUCAGAUCAUCGAUCAUCGGAGAUGUCGAAGUACGAUGAACCAGCGGCAGGAAUCCCCUACAUUCCGGCUUAUAACCAGGAUCCGUUGCCUCAGCAAAUCCACCACCAGCAAUAUUACGUGGCUGAAAACCCUUCAUAAACCAGCGGUAGGAAUCCCCUACAUUCCGGCUUAUAACCAGGAUCCGAUGCCUCAGCAAAUCCACCACUAGCAAUAUUACGUGGCUGAAAACCCUUAUCAAGCAGAUACGCCUGCUCCUUUUAAUUGCCUUCACUGUGGAAAUACUGGUCUCACCCUUGUCAAGUAAUUCUUCUCUUCCUUCUUUUUUUACUUUUUGUUGGAUAAUUGCAACUUUGGCCCUCAUCUGCUGGUAAAUUUUUAUAUUGAAUCCUCGACUAAACAGUUAAGGUUUGAAUAAUUAGAACCUGUACUUUCACAUUGGACUGAAUUUGCACGCUUCGAUUAAUGGAAGGAUAAAUAUGAUUAACUUAUAUCACAAGGACUUAGACAAGAGGGGUUGUUCUGAUGGUAAGAAACCCCCACUUCCAAGUGAGAGGUUGUGAGUUCGAGUCUCCCCAAGAGCAAGG